AGAGUUUGAUCCUGGCUCAGGACGAACGCUGGCGGCGUGCCUAACACAUGCAAGUCGAACGGGGUGAUUUCCUUUUUGGGGAUCGCCUAGUGGCGAACGGGUGAGUAACGCGUGAGGAACCUACCUUUCAGAGGGGGACAACAGUUGGAAACGGCUGCUAAUACCGCAUGACACUUUAGUACCGCAUGGUACAGAAGUCAAAGAUUUAUCGCUGGAAGAUGGCCUCGCGUCUGAUUAGCUAGUUGGCGGGGUAACGGCCCACCAAGGCGACGAUCAGUAGCCGGUCUGAGAGGAUGAACGGCCACAUUGGGACUGAGAUACGGCCCAGACUCCUACGGGAGGCAGCAGUGGGGAAUAUUGGGCAAUGGGCGAAAGCCUGACCCAGCAACGCCGCGUGAAGGAAGAAGGCCUUCGGGUUGUAAACUUCUUUUACCAGGGACGAAGGACGUGACGGUACCUGGAGAAAAAGCAACGGCUAACUACGUGCCAGCAGCCGCGGUAAUACGUAGGUUGCAAGCGUUGUCCGGAAUUACUGGGUGUAAAGGGCGUGUAGGCGGAGGAGCAAGUCAGAUGUGAAAUACCGGGGCUCAACCCUGGAACUGCAUUUGAAACUGUUUCCCUUGAGUAUCGGAGAGGCAAGCGGAAUUCCUAGUGUAGCGGUGAAAUGCGUAGAUAUUAGGAGGAACACCAGUGGCGAAGGCGGCUUGCUGGACGACAACUGACGCUGAGGCGCGAAAGCGUGGGGAGCAAACAGGAUUAGAUACCCUGGUAGUCCACGCUGUAAACGAUGAAUACUAGGU
Molecule: ribosomal RNA, 800 nt
Filed under: uncultured bacterium
Lineage: Bacteria
Description: bacterial SSU rRNA
Rfam family: Bacterial small subunit ribosomal RNA
Source: RNAcentral